RNAcentral lists this ribosomal RNA (454 nucleotides) under uncultured prokaryote. Its description in RNAcentral is "partial 16S ribosomal RNA". The record is from RNAcentral.
CCCUAUGGGGUGCGGCGGAUGAAAGGUAGGCCUCGUAAGGCGCCUGGCAGUAGCCCCGGUCCCCGGCAGCCCUGUCGGCCAUGCACUGCCUCGGGCAAAGCAUGCAGGGCGCGGCUCUCGUAAGAAGCUCUUCAAGCCGGUCCGCGAUGGCGUCCUCUUCGUAUAAUUUCAGAUAUGAGGGAAAAUCGAUCAUGAACUCUUUAAAAUUAUCAUAUAAUGGUUUAGUAUUAUAGCAUAAAGCGUCUUUAGCGGGGGUACGGGAUGAAUUUUGAAUACACUAUCAGGACCUAUUCGAUGGACCAGCUCAGGGAUGCGGGUGUCGACAUCGACGAAGAGAACAACAUCGUCUACGCAUGCAGGUCUGACGGUGAAUGCGAGAUCCAUGCUGUCGGCAUCGAGCAACUCAACAAUCUUUCGGGGAUGCUCAACGAAAUGGGAAGCGAAAGCUGGGAGC